Molecule: ribosomal RNA, 485 nt
Filed under: uncultured bacterium
Lineage: Bacteria
Description: bacterial SSU rRNA
Rfam family: Bacterial small subunit ribosomal RNA
Source: RNAcentral
AUUGAACGCUGGCGGCAUGCCUUACACAUGCAAGUCGAACGGCAGCACGGGAGCAAUCCUGGUGGCGAGUGGCGAACGGGUGAGUAAUAUAUCGGAACGUGCCCAGUCGUGGGGGAGUAACGCAGCGAAAGUUGUGCUAAUACCGCAUACGAUCUAUGGAUGAAAGCGGGGGAUCGCAAGACCUCGCGCGAUUGGAGCGGCCGAUAUCAGAUUAGGUUGUUGGUGAGGUAAAAGCUCACCAAGCCUGCGAUCUGUAGCUGGUCUGAGAGGACGACCAGCCACACUGGAACUGAGACACGGUCCAGACUCCUACGGGAGGCAGCAGUGGGGAAUUUUGGACAAUGGACGAAAGUCUGAUCCAGCAAUGCCGCGUGCAGGACGAAGGCCUUCGGGUUGUAAACUGCUUUUGUACAGAACGAAAAAGUCUUUAAUAACACUAGAGGCUCAUGACGGUACUGUAAGAAUAAGCACCGGCUAACUACGUG